CUUAAGCAUAUCAAUAAGCGGAGGAAGG
This 28-nucleotide ribosomal RNA is filed under the name Diaporthe melonis. Its description in RNAcentral is "partial 28S ribosomal RNA". Lineage: Eukaryota; Fungi; Ascomycota; Sordariomycetes; Diaporthales; Diaporthaceae. The record is from RNAcentral.